UGAAACAUAGAGGGAGAUAGAAGG
This 24-nucleotide small RNA is filed under the name Brassica napus (rape). RNAcentral describes it as "PsRNA_07". The record is from RNAcentral. Lineage: Eukaryota; Viridiplantae; Streptophyta; Magnoliopsida; Brassicales; Brassicaceae.